GUUCCAGUGGUGAAAUUUGUAAACACAACAAACUUAAGCUUUUUAGACUCGGUCUUUAAGGUCAAGCCCUUCUUGGAUA
Molecule: transfer RNA, 79 nt
Filed under: Akanthomyces muscarius
Lineage: Eukaryota; Fungi; Ascomycota; Sordariomycetes; Hypocreales; Cordycipitaceae
Description: tRNA-Leu
Source: RNAcentral